GACGAGGAGGACGAGGAUUUGUGCUCGGUAUAACCCGAGGUAGUUCGCGGUGGCUGCGGGUGAUCAAGGUGCGCGAGGAGGAGGACGAGGAUGACGAGGACUUGUACACUUUCUGUGCCCCACCUAGUGAUCCACU
RNAcentral lists this long non-coding RNA (136 nucleotides) under Neodiprion lecontei (redheaded pine sawfly). RNAcentral describes it as "uncharacterized LOC124295108". Lineage: Eukaryota; Metazoa; Arthropoda; Insecta; Hymenoptera; Diprionidae. The record is from RNAcentral.